RNAcentral lists this ribosomal RNA (537 nucleotides) under uncultured bacterium. Its description in RNAcentral is "bacterial SSU rRNA". It matches the Rfam family "Bacterial small subunit ribosomal RNA", at positions 8 to 548 of the family's 1533-position model. The record is from RNAcentral.
AGAGUUUGAUCCUGGCUCAGGAUGAACGCUGGCGGCGUGCCUAACACAUGCAAGUCGAGCGAUUUACUUCGGAGUGAGCGGCGGACGGGUGAGUAACGCGUGGGUAACCUGCCCUGUACACAUGGAUAACAUACCGAAAGGUAUGCUAAUACAAGAUAAAAUAUAUUUAUCGCAUGAUAGAUAUAUCAAAGCGUUAGCGGUACAGGAUGGACCCGCGUCUGAUUAGCUAGUUGGUAAGGUAAAGGCUUACCAAGGCGACGAUCAGUAGCCGACCUGAGAGGGUGAUCGGCCACAUUGGAACUGAGACACGGUCCAAACUCCUACGGGAGGCAGCAGUGGGGAAUAUUGCACAAUGGGCGAAAGCCUGAUGCAGCAACGCCGCGUGAGUGAAGAAGGUUUUCGGAUCGUAAAGCUCUGUUGUUGGUGAAGAAGGAUAGAGGUAGUAACUGGCCUUUAUUUGACGGUAAUCAACCAGAAAGUCACGGCUAACUACGUGCCAGCAGCCGCGGUAAUACGUAGGUGGCAAGCGUUGUCCGG